Long non-coding RNA from Sinocyclocheilus anshuiensis, 1094 nucleotides. Lineage: Eukaryota; Metazoa; Chordata; Actinopteri; Cypriniformes; Cyprinidae. The record is from Ensembl.
GAUAACUACAACAGAAGAUACAGUGACAACAACAGGCCUAGUAGAAUCUGCUACUACACUCAAAGCUUCAACCUUGGUACAGGUGACAUCAGCAUUGCCAGCAACUGCAGCGAACACGACCACAGCAGCAACCGUUAGCAAUGAACCAGAAUCAACCAAGACUACACUAGCUCAAGUUUCAUCUACUGUGAUACAUUCUGUGGCAGUAGGUACAGUUACAACAACAACAUCAACAACAAGCUUAGUAAAGUCUGCUACUGCACCAAAAGCUUCAACCUUUGUACCAGUGACAUCAGCAUUGACAGCAACUGCAUCAAGGACAACAGCAGCAGCAACUGUUAGAAAUAAACCAGAAUCAACCAAGACUACACUAGCUAAGGGUUCAUCUACUGUAUUAAAUUCUACAACAGUAUAUACAACAACAUCGACAACAACAACAACACUAACGUCAGUAAAGCCAGUAACAGAGGCUCAUACCUCAUAUGUGUCCACUGUAGCACCAACAACAGAGGGCACAAAUACUGAUCCUCCUACCCUUGACGAGGGAAGCAUACACUUAAGAUUCAGUCUAAAUGAAACUUUCAGUGAAAUAUAUAACAACCACUCAUCCCCUGAAUUCAUUGCAUUGGCAUCCCAUGUGGUAACUGUGAUAAACAGAAUUUACAGGGCAAGCAAUCUCAGAGGAUACAGGCGAUGUAGAGUCAACUCUUUCGUGAGGGGCUCCAUUAAAGUUGAUAUGACUCUUAUCUUUGAGAAUUCUUCUACAGUCCCAAGCUCAUUUGAGGUAGAGGGAAUUCUUAAUGGGACCGCUGUGAAUGGUACCAUACUUUUGGACAUCAUACUUGAUACUAUCAAAGCAGGUGAGUGUGUGAAGUACAAUUGACAAAUUAGCAUAACAAUGAAAUCGUUAAAAUGUUUCAUGUGUGCACAUUUUAUAUUACAGGGGAAGUAGUUACUUCUAGUACACCACCGCCUGCCACAAAUGCAACUUUUGAAUCUACCACCAUGAAAUCAAGUACCAAUGAGUACACAAACACCACGUCUAGUGCCUUUCCAUGGAUGGUACGCUGUUCACUAAUGACUAUAUCUCCAGC